RNAcentral lists this ribosomal RNA (380 nucleotides) under uncultured cyanobacterium. RNAcentral describes it as "bacterial SSU rRNA". It matches the Rfam family "Bacterial small subunit ribosomal RNA", at positions 376 to 770 of the family's 1533-position model. Lineage: Bacteria; Bacillati; Cyanobacteriota. The record is from RNAcentral.
GGCAACCCUGACGGAGCAACGCCGCGUGGGGGAGGAAUGCCUUAGGGUUGUAAACCCCUUUUAUCUGGGAAGAACAAAAUGACGGUACCAGAUGAAUAAGCCUCGGCUAACUCCGUGCCAGCAGCCGCGGUAAUACGGAGGAGGCAAGCGUUAUCCGGAAUUAUUGGGCGUAAAGCGUCCGCAGGUGGCAAUGUAAGUCUGCUGUCAAAACCCAGGGCUCAACUCUGGUCAGGCAGUGGAAACUACAUAGCUAGAGUUCGGUAGGGGCAAAGGGAAUUCCCGGUGUAGCGGUGAAAUGCGUAGAGAUCGGGAAGAACAUCGGUGGCGAAAGCGCUUUGCUAGACCGAAACUGACACUCAGGGACGAAAGCUAGGGGAGCG